RNAcentral lists this unclassified non-coding RNA (240 nucleotides) under soil metagenome. RNAcentral describes it as "partial contains 5.8S ribosomal RNA, internal transcribed spacer 2, and large subunit ribosomal RNA". The record is from RNAcentral.
AAGACUAUAGACCUGCGGAGUACCUGCGGAAGGAUCAUUAAAGAGAAAACUGCCCUUUGGGUAGAUUUCCCACCCUUUGUUUACUUUACCUUUGUUGCUUUGGCAGGCCCGUCUUCUGACCACCGGCUUCUAGCUGGUCCGUGCCUGCCAGAGGACCCCCAACUCUUGAUUUUAAGUUGUCCGAGUCUUAUAUAAUAGUAAAAACUUUUAACAACGGAUCUCUAGAUCGGAAGAGCACAC